CUCCCCUCUACUCUACCCAGCUUGCGCUCCCCAGCCGCAAGUCGGCCGCGCUUUGCCCGUCAGCGCUUGGAGCUUUCUGCGUCGCUUCCCGCUGCGCCUGCGCGGUCCCGCCUCGCCCCACGCGCGGGCUCGCGCUUCGGUUUCCCCAGACCUGCUCGCAGCACCCUGCUGUCUUCCCGGUCCGGCCCGCUGCCCGCGGCGCCAGCACCAUGCUCUUCUAUUCUUUUUUCAAGUCCCUUGUGGGCAAGGAUGUGGUCGUGGAACUAAAGAAUGACCUGAGUUAUCAGUGAAGAACUGCUUCAUUCGGGGCUCAGUGGUCCGAUACGUGCAGCUGCCAGCAGAUGAGGUCGACACACAGUUGCUACAGGAUGCGGCAAGGAAGGAAGCCCUGCAGCAGAAACAGUGAUGGCUCCUCCUCCUCUUCCCCUCCCUCUUUCAUUGGUGACCCAUAACCCCAAGUCCCAGCCCAGAACCCCUAACCCCCAAUACUUGAAGGGGUUUUGUUUUUUUACUAAUGAUGGUUUUGUGGGUUUUUUUUAAGGGAUGAGUGGAUGAGAGGAGUAAUAGGGAACAGCUAUCCUCUCUUGAGAAGGGGAGGAUAAGUAGGCUGGGAAACUUCAAAGCCUUCCCAGUCCCCAGCACCUGCCUUUCUCACUACUUCUCUGGAGAUGGUAGGAGAGUUUCCUAGGUCUUUCCAGGGCAGCAUGUGAUUCAUUUGGGGAUGGAAGGAAUCUGUCCCGCAUCGGGAAUAAAAUUUAUGAUGCAAA
RNAcentral lists this long non-coding RNA (767 nucleotides) under Homo sapiens (human). Lineage: Eukaryota; Metazoa; Chordata; Mammalia; Primates; Hominidae. The record is from RNAcentral.